This 274-nucleotide ribosomal RNA is filed under the name uncultured bacterium. Its description in RNAcentral is "partial 16S ribosomal RNA". It matches the Rfam family "Bacterial small subunit ribosomal RNA", at positions 523 to 796 of the family's 1533-position model. The record is from RNAcentral.
AUACGGAGGGUGCAAGCGUUAAUCGGAAUUACUGGGUGUAAAGGGUGUGUAGGCGGGGCUGUAAGUCAGAGGUGAAAUCCUACGGCUCAACCGUAGAACUGCCUUUGAUACUGCGGCUCUUGAGUCUCGGAGAGGUCGCUGGAAUUCGUGGUGUAGCGGUGAAAUGCGUAGAUAUCACGAGGAACACCAGAUGCGUAGGCGGGUGACUGGACGAGUACUGACGCUGAGGCACGAAAGCGUGGGGAGCAAACAGGAUUAGAAACCCCAGUAGUCC